CGCUGCAAAGCCCAGGCGAUUGGCUAGCCGGGACUGGAUGGCCUGUUUUGUUCUCCAGGCGCUGAUCUGGAGAGUUCGUACCAGCUUUUUCCAGUCUGAAUAGGAACCAUCACUCCAUCUCCACUCGCUGGUGCUGGAUCUUGCUCCAUUAUCUUCACAUUUCCAUACUGAGCCCUGUGACAGACACAAGGCUGAGGACUGCCAUAGAGAACAUACAUUAGGAAAAAAAAAAGAAAAAAAAUAGCCUCAGUUAUUUCAACAAAUACCAAA
This 270-nucleotide long non-coding RNA is filed under the name Anas platyrhynchos platyrhynchos (common mallard). RNAcentral describes it as "lncRNA (ENSAPLG00000019199.1)". Lineage: Eukaryota; Metazoa; Chordata; Aves; Anseriformes; Anatidae. The record is from RNAcentral.